UACAGAGGGUGCAAGCGUUACUCGGAAUUACUGGGCGUAAAGCGUGCGUAGACGGUUACAUAAGUCAGAUGUGAAAGCCCCGGGCUCAACCUGGGAAUUGCAUUUGAGACUGUGUAGCUAGGGUGCGGAAGAGGGAAGCGGAAUUUCCGGUGUAGCGGUGAAAUGCGUAGAUAUCAGGAGGAACACCGGUGGCGAAGGCAGCUCGCUGGGACGGUACUGACGCUGAGGCGCGAAAGCGUGGGGAGCAAACAGG
RNAcentral lists this ribosomal RNA (253 nucleotides) under uncultured bacterium. RNAcentral's name for it is "partial 16S ribosomal RNA". It matches the Rfam family "Bacterial small subunit ribosomal RNA", at positions 524 to 776 of the family's 1533-position model. The record is from RNAcentral.